AAGGAGUCUAACUUGUUUGCGAGUGUUUGGGUGGCAAACCCGAGCGCGUAAUUAAAGUGAAUGCAGGUGGGAUGCGCAAGCAGCAUCAUCGACCGAUCUGGAUCUUUUGUGAUGGAUUUGAGUAAGAGCACAUAUGCUGGGACCCGAAAGAUGGUGAACUAUGCCUGAAUAGGGCGAAGCCAGAGGAAACUCUGGUGGAGGCUCGUAGCGAUUCUGACGUGCAAAUCGAUCGUCAAAUUUGGGUAUAGGGGCGAAAGACUAAUCGAACCAUCUAGUAGCUGGUUCCUGC
RNAcentral lists this unclassified non-coding RNA (289 nucleotides) under uncultured fungus. Its description in RNAcentral is "partial contains 5.8S rRNA, ITS2 and 28S rRNA". It matches the Rfam family "Eukaryotic large subunit ribosomal RNA", at positions 668 to 961 of the family's 3401-position model. The record is from RNAcentral. Lineage: Eukaryota; Fungi.